Molecule: ribosomal RNA, 626 nt
Filed under: uncultured bacterium
Lineage: Bacteria
Description: bacterial SSU rRNA
Rfam family: Bacterial small subunit ribosomal RNA
Source: RNAcentral
CAUAUGGAUUCCUACGGGAGGCAGCAGUGGGGAAUAUUGGACAAUGGGCGCAAGCCUGAUCCAGCAACGCCGCGUGGAGGAUGAAGGUCUUCGGAUCGUAAACUCCUGUCAGGCGGGACGAAGGGACGCCGGCGAACAGUCGGUGUCCUUGACGGUACCGCCAGAGGAAGCCCCGGCUAACUCCGUGCCAGCAGCCGCGGUAAUACGGAGGGGGCGAGCGUUAUUCGGAAUUAUUGGGCGUAAAGGGCGCGUAGGCGGCCUGGUAAGUCAAAGGUGAAAUCCCUCGGCUCAACUGAGGAAUUGCCUUUGAAACUGCUGGGCUUGAGUCCGGGAGGGGGUAGCGGAAUUCCCAGUGUAGCGGUGAAAUGGCGUAGAUACUGGGAGGAACACCGGUGGCGAAGGCGGCUACCUGGACCGGUUCUGACGCUGCGCGAAAGCGUGGGGAGCAAACAAGAUUAGAUACCCUGGUAGUCCACCCCGUAAACGAUGGGUGCUCGGUGUCGCGGGUAUCGACCCCUGCGGUGCCUUAGCUAACGCGUUAAGCACCCCCCCUGGGGAGUACGGUCGCAAGGCUGAAACUCAAAGGAAUUAACGGGGGCCCGCACAACCGGUGGAGCAUGUGGUUU